GUCUAUGGCCAUACCACCCUGAAUGUGUCCGAUCUCGUCUGAUCUCGGAAGCUAAGCAGGGUUGGGCCUGGUUAGUACCUGGAUGGGAGACCGCCUGGGAAUACCGGGUGCUGUAGGCU
This 119-nucleotide ribosomal RNA is filed under the name Tursiops truncatus (common bottlenose dolphin). Lineage: Eukaryota; Metazoa; Chordata; Mammalia; Artiodactyla; Delphinidae. RNAcentral also lists the same sequence under 1 other name. The record is from RNAcentral.